Ahaetulla prasina is the source of this 927-nucleotide long non-coding RNA. RefSeq lists it as uncharacterized. The record is from RefSeq and is a predicted model, not a curated record. NCBI's taxonomy places the organism in Eukaryota, Metazoa, Chordata, Lepidosauria, Squamata, Colubridae. The transcript is spliced from 2 exons.
CCUCUAAAGUCCCUUUCAGCUCUAUUCUGCUCUUCCGCCAUCCCCUCUACGCACUCCCAAGCCUUUUCCCACUCCUUCAACUCGCCCUUCCCCCCUCCUCGCCGACAAAGACCGGCAGAGGCGCCGAUGAGUCAGCGCGGUGCAACGUGAUUGUUACAUCACGAGGAGGGCGGGGCUAAGGCUGAAGCCAGAUAGAGUCCAGCGUUAGCUGCCUGAGGCCGGCGGGGGGAGGAAAGAGUGGGCGGCACCUCUUCUGCUUAACGCGACCCAGCCUGGGUCCAACUCAGAGAAUAUUUCUUUUUCUGUUUUUGCUUUGGACUACCAAAGGCCUGGGAAUUGGAACAAUAUAUUUAUAUAAAGAAUAAAUACAGGCAGAAUAAAUACAUUAAGUGACCAAAGUUAUAACACAGACUUCAGAGGAUAAUUAGAACUGCAGAAAAAAUAAUUGCUACCAACUUGCCUUCCAUUGAGGACCUGUAUACUGCACGAAUCAAGAAGAGGGCCGUGAAAAUAUUUGCAGAUCCCUCGCAUCCUGGACAUAAACUGUUUCAACUCCAACCCUCAAAACGACGCUAUAGAGCACUGCACACCAGAACAACUAGACACAAGAACAGUUUUUUCCCCGAAGGAUAUCACUCUGCUAAACAAAUAAUUCCCUCAACACUGUCAGACUAUUUACUGAAUCUGCACUACUAUUAAUCGUUUCAUAGUUCCCAUCACCAAUCUCUUUCCACUUAUGACUGUAUGACUAUAACUUGUUUCUGGCAAUCUUUAUGAUUUAUAUUGAUAUAUUGGCCAUCAAUUGUGUUGUAAAUGUUGUACCUUGAUGAACGUAUCUUUUCUUUUAUGUACACUGAGAGCAUAUGCACCAAGACAAAUUCCUUGUGUGUCCAAUCACACUUGGCCAAUAAAAAAUUCUAUUCUAUU